RNAcentral lists this long non-coding RNA (234 nucleotides) under Vicia faba (fava bean). The record is from RNAcentral. Lineage: Eukaryota; Viridiplantae; Streptophyta; Magnoliopsida; Fabales; Fabaceae.
AUGUAUGUUCCUACAAACGACACUAAUGAUGUUGUAAUAUUAGAUUUUCUCGUACAAGUGAGGAUAUUCAAUUUUGGACUUGUACGAGUUGCAUUCAAUGAUAUACAUGUGAAAGGCUCGAUGAUGCAAUUCAAUUUCUGGAGCAUGUUUUUAGUAUUAGGGAAGAAAAUCUUGGUACAACAAAUCCCGACGUGGAUAUGCGGCAUAAAUUGCAGAUCAGGUUGUUAUAUUUAG